UGGGGAAUAUUGGACAAUGGGCGCAAGCCUGAUCCAGCCAUGCCGCGUGUGUGAAGAAGGCCUUAUGGUUGUAAAGCACUUUAAGCGAGGAGGAGGCUACUUUAGUUAAUACCUAGAGAUAGUGGACGUUACUCGCAGAAUAAGCACCGGCUAACUCUGUGCCAGCAGCCGCGGUAAUACAGAGGGUGCAAGCGUUAAUCGGAUUUACUGGGCGUAAAGCGCGCGUAGGCGGCUAAUUAAGUCAAAUGUGAAAUCCCCGAGCUUAACUUGGGAAUUGCAUUCGAUACUGGUUAGCUAGAGUGUGGGAGAGGAUGGUAGAAUUCCAGGUGUAGCGGUGAAAUGCGUAGAGAUCUGGAGGAACACCGAUGGCGAAGGCAGCCAUCUGGCCUAACACUGACGCUGAGGUGCGAAAGCAUGGGGAGCAAACAGG
Molecule: ribosomal RNA, 430 nt
Filed under: Pseudomonadota bacterium
Lineage: Bacteria; Pseudomonadati; Pseudomonadota
Description: Proteobacteria bacterium partial 16S ribosomal RNA
Rfam family: Bacterial small subunit ribosomal RNA
Source: RNAcentral